AACCAGGCAUGGUGGCACAUGCUCAUAAACCCAAAAAUUAUACAUAUAUAUGUAUAUAUAAGUGUAUAUGUAUGUCUAUAUUAAAUAAACACAUAUAUGGAGAAAGAAAGCAAAUACUAAAACAUUAUCACUUGGUGAUUCUACAUGAAAGAUUUAUAGGUUUUCCUAUACUAUUCUUUCAGUUUUUCUCUAGGUUUACAAUUUUCCCAGUAAAAAAUGAGAAGGUUAGUAGAAAAGACAAGUAAUUUACCAUAAAACAUAUUUAAGGGGGCUGAUCUGGGAUUCAAUGCAUUUUUCAGCUCUAAGGGAGAGGACUACUUAAAGGAACUGAGAGCUAAAAAUUUUCAUAAUGUAAAAAAGAUGUCCACCACACUUCUCUGACUGCUAUUUGCUGUUUGCUACUUCUCUGUUGUUUAAAAAUUGCUAUUGGGCAAGAGGGACCCAUGGUCCCAGGUCCUAAGGCAGCUCCUUGACUCUGCUAAGGAAUGACUCUAGUAGUUUCAUCAGGGCUGCUUUCCCUUUGGCUACAGCAUAGUCAAAAUAAUUCCUGCCCCAGACUCCAGGUUCCUAGGAGACAAGGCUCAACAUCCUUGCUGAAGCUGGGAAAACCUCUGAGGGCCCAGGGUUUCCAUGGUGCAAACAAAGCUCUAGCUUUACCCACGAGCCACACCCGCUGCACAGGAGGGACAAAAUGGCAAGAGGACCUUCAGCAAAUGUGCUGUGUCUUCUAGGAUGCUUGUUUAAAAAGCUCCAUUCCCGCAGAGGCAGGUCCUGGGAAACUUUAUUUAACCAGCACCCCUCUGACACUGCAGCACAUUGAGAAACAACAGUCAGCCAGCAUGGCUGCACAUGCCUAUAAUCCCAGCUGCUCCUGAGGCUGAGGCAGGAGGAAUGAAAGUUUGAGGCCAGCCUUAGCAAUGAUCUUGAAAGCAACUGUCUUGAGAGAUUGUCCUGAAGUAAAAUAAAAAGAGCUGAGGAUGUAGCUCAGGGAUAGAGCUUCUCUGGGUUCAAUCUCUAGUACCACACACACACAUAUACACACACACAAACCCAUUCAAAUCCCAACUGCUCCCUGGAGCCUUCCUGAUCAUGAAAGCCCACUUCCAAGGGAGUCCCCUUACUUUCUCUGAUUUCAUUUGAUGUUAAGUUGGUAGCAUUCAGUCUAAUACUUUAUGAAACAUAAUCCACUGUAGUUUUUUCACUUGCUUUGCUUGAGUCAAUGUUAUCUGUCUGCAAUGUUUUUGAGGGCAGGGACCACAUCUUUCUCACCUGUACCCUCUUUGGUACUAAGGAAAAGAUUGAAGUUCCAGGUUGGUCCUCAGGAACAAUUUGCUAAUAUCUAAACUUAGAAAGAGAUGGGAGAAGAAUAGAAGCAAAAGUGGAUAGAGGUGGGCUGGAGAUGUAACUCAGCGGUAGGACACUUCCUAGCACACGCUAAGCUCUGGGCUUGGAAGGGGUGUGGCUGUGUAUAUCCUUAAGCCUGGGAUUCCAACUCUGGAUAGGUGGAACUAGGAUGACCAUACUGUCACCCCCCCUUAACUAUUUGCAUUUGGGGGUUGGCUGUCCCCAUAUAACCAUUUGCAUCCAUAAAUUUACAUAGAACUAAAGGUGCUUCCUGAGAGAAAGGGUGACUCUUGCCACCUCUCCAUGUUCCUCCUUUGUCAUUCAAAGUCCUGAAUGGUGACUGACAAUGGGGAGAGGGCGGAGCUGGCAGACACUGUAGUAUGGCUGCAUCCUGGGUGAUGCAGCUUCAAGGGAGAGAAGGGGAUGUGGGGGUGCCUGGACUUAUUCCUGGGGCUCUUGGUGAUGAAGCUGCCACAUGCAUACUGUCAACUUCAACUACUUCUCUCUGUCUGGGAUGCCCUCUUUCCCUGGUAAUGCCUAGUUGCUGCUCAAGGUAGAACGAGGUUCAGAUUCCCUCUCAGGACCCUGGCUUGAAGGCCUCUGUGAACAACUCAGUCUCCUACUGCCUUAUUUGGCUGAUAAGGCUGGUGACUCCCCGCUCCCACCUUGCCCCAGGUGGUCCCGUUCCAUGCUGAGGGGGAGCAUCCUAGGCAGAGAAGGUUCAGAGCACUCUGGUUGCUUCCAGACUAUGAGCUGCCUGUCCCAGCUCAGACAAAGAAGGAACUCAACCUUACCGGCCACAGGACAAUAAAACAAGGUGGCAGAUGGAAGAAGAGUUGCAAAGAUAGCAGUCGCUGGAGGAACAAGAAAAGGUCACUGACCUGUGAAACAUAAGUACAGUUGGGACACAGAAGGUCAGGAACCACAGAAUGGGUUCCUAAUGGCGGCAAAGUGAAAGAAAACUCAAUGGUGCAGGCAAGCUUCUCCUUUCUCCUCCCAUCUUGCAAAUGCUGCAGGGGGCGGAGGGGAGGAGGAGCUGGAGUGGGGAAUAUGUUAGCCGCCUGUUCCCGACUGUUACCAAGGGAGUGGUGGAGUCGGUCCCGGAGACCUCUCCAGAGAUGGUAGAUAAUUACAUACGUGUCUUGAUACAACUCUGUCUCAUGGCAAGCAAUGGAGUAGGUGACCCCCUCCAAAGUCCCCUCAGCUGUUUUGGAGCAGGUUACCAUAGGACAAAGAGAAGUCAGGAGACUGAACCAUAAUUAUUCAUGUGGCAUGCUUCCUUUAGCUUUUGAGAAACCUAAAAAAAUAUUCAGUGCUCAAGACCAGAAGAAUUGGGUGAUUUUACUACCUAUCCCACCCCCAUCUAUUAAAAUAGUCACAAAAUUCUGAUCUCCUGAAAUCCUUAAAACAGAAGCUGUUGAGUCCACAAGAACAGAAUUUGUAGCUUUCUUUGCCUGCAUUUCUCUCUGGUUAAAGGAGGGUGGGGUGUGUUGGAAUAUUAAUGAGGAGCAUUUAGAUGAAGCUCUUAAUUUGAGAAAAAUGUGAGAAUUAAUGCUUGAGUUUAAUGGAAGCCAGAAUCAUCACAGAUAGAUUUUUACCCUCUUCUCCUUAAUCAAUUUCACCCUAAUUAAUUCUUCUGUGGCUAAGUCUUGUUACAUUAGAUAGUCUGCUGAUUAUUUCCACAAUCAAGAGACUGUAUAUUCAUGCAUUUUUAAUAAGGAAUGACUGCAUCCUUUUUCAUAAGUGAUCCUGCUGGUUGGCAGACAUAGCCGCUAAAAUAAUUAUGGAGCAGAUUACUUACUUUUAAAGCAUUGUUUACUGUCAUAUUCAUCCUAGGUGACAAUUUGGAAGAGCUCGGGAGACUGCUAUAAUCGGACAGAGGACCUCGAUCUUGCCCUUCCCAUCUCCUGAAUUCCUUGGUAGCCUUUGGGACAUCACUCUGGAUCAUUUCACUAUAAAUAACUCUUAUGCAUAUCUUAACCACAGAAUCUGCCAUAGAAAAACAAAAACAGACUAAAGAGAAUGGAGGAAGGCAAUGCGGGGAAGAGGGCUCUCCCAAGGGCCCACUUCAGGGAAGGGAUUUAGCCCUACCAAGAUCCAAGCUAGAGAAGUGGAACUUCUCAUGUCUGCCUUGUGGCAGAGGAAAAGAACAAUGAGGAAUCCCUUAAUCACUCUUGAGACCAACUGGAUGUGAUGCACAUCAAUUCCACUGGAAAAUGAAAAAUGAAAGUGCAACUCUGACACCAGAGUUGGUGGGAUGUGUAGGGGUGGUAGCAAAUAUUUUUUGAAUAAAAAUUAGUCAAUCCACAGAGUGGUUUCAGAUUAAACUGUAUGACUUUAGAUAUACUAACAUUUAUGUAAUAAUGAGCUUUAUAUUACAAAUUUUGCUGUUUAUUAAAUCUGUAUGACUCUUGUCUGUUUACCUAAAAAUUACCCAUUCUUCACUGCCCACAUUAGGCUUCACCUCCCCCAUGCAUCCUUCUUUACUGAUUUUUGCAGCAUUUAUCAUCUCUACAACCCAUUCUGCC
Molecule: long non-coding RNA, 3872 nt
Organism: Sciurus carolinensis (gray squirrel)
Lineage: Eukaryota; Metazoa; Chordata; Mammalia; Rodentia; Sciuridae
Exons: 4
Source: RefSeq, a predicted model, not a curated record